AGAGUUUGAUCCUGGCUCAGAAUCAACGCUGGCGGCGUGCCUAACACAUGCAAGUCGAACGAGAAAGGGUAGCAAUACCUGAGUAAAGUGGCCCACGGGUGAGUAACACGUGACUAACCUACCCUGGAGUGGGGAAUAACUGAGGGAAACCUUAGCUAAUACCGCAUAACACCUACGGGUCAAAGGAGCAAUUCGCUUCAGGAGGGGGUCGCGGCCGAUUAGUUAGUUGGCGGGGUAAUGGCCCACCAAGACGAUGAUCGGUAUCCGGCCUGAGAGGGCGCACGGACACACUGGAACUGAAACACGGUCCAGACUCCUACGGGAGGCAGCAGUGGGGAAUUUUGCGCAAUGGGGGAAACCCUGACGCAGCAACGCCGCGUGGAGGAUGAAGUCCUUCGGGACGUAAACUCCUUUCGAUCGGGACGAUUAUGACGGUACCGGAAGAAGAAGCCCCGGCUAACUUCGUGCCAGCAGCCGCGGUAAUACGAGGGGGGCGAGCGUUGUUCGGAAUUAUUGGGCGUAAAGGGUGCGUAGGCGGUUUGGUAAGUCUGAUGUGAAAUCUAUGGGCUCAACUCAUAGUCUGCAUCGGAAACUGCCGGGCUUGAGUGUGGGAGAGGUGAGUGGAAUUCCUGGUGUAGCGGUGAAAUGCGUAGAUAUCAGGAGGAACACCUGUGGCGAAAGCGGCUCACUGACCAUAACU
RNAcentral lists this ribosomal RNA (700 nucleotides) under uncultured bacterium. Its description in RNAcentral is "bacterial SSU rRNA". It matches the Rfam family "Bacterial small subunit ribosomal RNA", at positions 8 to 741 of the family's 1533-position model. The record is from RNAcentral.